UUGAAGUUCAGGUAACACUGAAUGGAGGACCGAACCGACUUACGUUGAAAAGUGAGCGGAUGAACUGAGGGUAGCGGAGAAAUUCCAAUCGAACCUGGAGAUAGCUGGUUCUCUCCGAAAUAGCUUUAGGGCUAGCCUCAAGUGAUGAUUAUUGGAGGUAGAGCACUGUUUGGACGAGGGGCCCCUCUCGGGUUACCGAAUUCAGACAAACUCCGAAUGCCAAUUAAUUUAACUUGGGAGUCAGAACAUGGGUGAUAAGGUCCGUGUUCGAAAGGGAAACAGCCCAGACCACCAGCUAAGGUCCCAAAAUAUAUGUUAAGUGGAAAAGGAUGUGGCGUUGCCCAGACAACUAGGAUGUUGGCUUAGAAGCAGCCAUCAUUUAAAGAGUGCGUAAUAGCUCACUAGUCGAGUGACACUGCGCCGAAAAUGUACCGGGGCUAAACAUAUUACCGAAGCUGUGGAUUGUCCUUUGGACAAUGGUAGGAGAGCGUUCUAAGGGCGUUGAAGCAUGAUCGUAAGGACAUGUGGAGCGCUUAGAAGUGAGAAUGCCGGUGUGAGUAGCGAAAGACGGGUGAGAAUCCCGUCCACCGAUUGACUAAGGUUUCCAGAGGAAGGCUCGUCCGCUCUGGGUUAGUCGGGUCCUAAGCUGAGGCCGACAGGCGUAGGCGAUGGAUAACAGGUUGAUAUUCCUGUACCACCUAUAAUCGUUUUAAUCGAUGGGGGGACGCAGUAGGAUAGGCGAAGCGUGCGAUUGGAUUGCACGUCUAAGCAGUAAGGCUGAGUAUUAGGCAAAUCCGGUACUCGUUAAGGCUGAGCUGUGAUGGGGAGAAGACAUUGUGUCUUCGAGUCGUUGAUUUCACACUGCCGAGAAAAGCCUCUAGAUAGAAAAUAGGUGCCCGUACCGCAAACCGACACAGGUAGUCAAGAUGAGAAUUCUAAGGUGAGCGAGCGAACUCUCGUUAAGGAACUCGGCAAAAUGACCCCGUAACUUCGGGAGAAGGGGUGCUCUUUAGGGUUAACGCCCAGAAGAGCCGCAGUGAAUAGGCCCAAGCGACUGUUUAUCAAAAACACAGGUCUCUGCUAAACCGUAAGGUGAUGUAUAGGGGCUGACGCCUGCCCGGUGCUGGAAGGUUAAGAGGAGUGGUUAGCUUCUGCGAAGCUACGAAUCGAAGCCCCAGUAAACGGCGGCCGUAACUAUAACGGUCCUAAGGUAGCGAAAUUCCUUGUCGGGUAAGUUCCGACCCGCACGAAAGGCGUAACGAUUUGGGCACUGUCUCAACGAGAGACUCGGUGAAAUCAUAGUACCUGUGAAGAUGCAGGUUACCCGCGACAGGACGGAAAGACCCCGUGGAGCUUUACUGUAGCCUGAUAUUGAAAUUCGGCACAGCUUGUACAGGAUAGGUAGGAGCCUUUGAAACGUGAGCGCUAGCUUACGUGGAGGCGCUGGUGGGAUACUACCCUAGCUGUGUUGGCUUUCUAACCCGCACUACUUAUCGUGGUGGGAGACAGUGUCAGGCGGGCAGUUUGACUGGGGCGGUCGCCUCCUAAAAGGUAACGGAGGCGCUCAAAGGUUCCCUCAGAAUGGUUGGAAAUCAUUCAUAGAGUGUAAAGGCAUAAGGGAGCUUGACUGCGAGACCUACAAGUCGAGCAGGGUCGAAAGACGGACUUAGUGAUCCGGUGGUUCCGCAUGGAAGGGCCAUCGCUCAACGGAUAAAAGCUACCCCGGGGAUAACAGGCUUAUCUCCCCCAAGAGUUCACAUCGACGGGGAGGUUUGGCACCUCGAUGUCGGCUCAUCGCAUCCUGGGGCUGUAGUCGGUCCCAAGGGUUGGGCUGUUCGCCCAUUAAAGCGGUACGCGAGCUGGGUUCAGAACGUCGUGAGACAGUUCGGUCCCUAUCCGUCGUGGGCGUAGGAAAUUUGAGAGGAGCUGUCCUUAGUACGAGAGGACCGGGAUGGACAUACCUCUGGUGUACCAGUUGUCGUGCCAACGGCAUAGCUGGGUAGCUAUGUGUGGACGGGAUAAGUGCUGAAAGCAUCUAAGCAUGAAGCCCCCCUCAAGAUGAGAUUUCCCAACUUCG
This 2077-nucleotide ribosomal RNA is filed under the name Staphylococcus aureus. Its description in RNAcentral is "partial 23S ribosomal RNA". It matches the Rfam family "Bacterial large subunit ribosomal RNA", at positions 745 to 2822 of the family's 2925-position model. The record is from RNAcentral. Lineage: Bacteria; Bacillati; Bacillota; Bacilli; Caryophanales; Staphylococcaceae.